CCAAGCCUGAUCCAGCCAUUCCGCGUGAGUGAAGAAGGCCUUCGGGUUGUAAAGCUCUUUCGCAAGGGAAGAAAACUUACACAAUAACACUGUGUGAGGCUGACGGUACCUUGAUAAGAAGCACCGGCUAACUACGUGCCAGCAGCCGCGGUAAUACGUAGGGUGCGAGCGUUAAUCGGAAUUACUGGGCGUAAAGCGUGCGCAGGCGGUUUUGUAAGUCAGAUGUGAAAUCCCCGAGCUCAACUUGGGAACUGCGUUUGAAACUACAAGACUAGAAUAUGUCAGAGGGGGGUAGAAUUCCACGUGUAGCAGUGAAAUGCGUAGAGAUGUGGAGGAAUACCAAUGGCGAAGGCAGCCCCCUGGGAUAAUAUUGACGCUCAUGCACGAAAGCGUGGGGAGCAAACAGGAUUAGAUACCCUGGUAGUCCACGCCCUAAACGAUGUCUACUAGUUGUUGGUGGAGUAAAAUCCAUGAGUAACGCAGCUAACGCGUGAAGUAGACCGCCUGGGGAGUACGGUCGCAAGAUUAAAACUCAAAGGA
Molecule: ribosomal RNA, 540 nt
Filed under: Methylophilus sp. VMB4
Lineage: Bacteria; Pseudomonadati; Pseudomonadota; Betaproteobacteria; Nitrosomonadales; Methylophilaceae
Description: bacterial SSU rRNA
Rfam family: Bacterial small subunit ribosomal RNA
Source: RNAcentral